GUUGCGUCCUCGGUGUUGAAGGAGUCCGUAAGGGCAACUAAGUGCAUUCACUAGAAGGAACAAUUGUCCAUACUGAGGAGGCAGGAUGAGAAAGGGGCCAGGAUAAGGGUCAACACCCCAGACCUAGCAUUCACCUGGACUGUAAACUUUCAUAAGGUUGUGACGGUUGGCUGCUCAUUCAUGUCUCCAGCAUCUUGAGUAAAGCUCUGGUUUCUGCUCAGAAUAAUGACACAGGAAUGAGGUUUAUCAGAUUUCCAAGAACACUCUUCAUGUAAAAAUACUGUAUCAUCCAGCCCCAUAUUUACAUUCACUUUCAAGACUCAGCUAAAAUGUGACACGUUUCUGAGUCCUUGGCAGGGAUAGCUGUACCUCCUUUGUGUUGAUAUGGGAAGAUGUAGAUCCACUUGAAGAUCAUGAGCCAGAAGGAAAUGAAGUCUAGUGAAUUCUGAGAGAACAGAACAAUUGAUAACCAUCAUGAAGUGGUAUUAAAAGGAGGAAAAAAGUCACCUCAUAUCGAAACUGAAGCAGAUGACAUUCCUGGUGAUUCCUGUAUGAAGCAGUCAGACAAGCUGUUCACUUUCAUGGAGGUGGCUCACCCGAGAC
Molecule: long non-coding RNA, 603 nt
Organism: Heterocephalus glaber (naked mole-rat)
Lineage: Eukaryota; Metazoa; Chordata; Mammalia; Rodentia; Bathyergidae
Source: Ensembl